GACGAACGCGUGGCGGCGUGCCUAACACAUGCAAGUCGAACGGGGUGGUCGGGAGCUUGCUCCUGACACUUAGUGGCGAACGGGUGAGUAACGCGUGAGGAACCUGCCUUUCAGUGGGGGACAACAGUUGGGAACGACUGCUAAUACCGCAUAAUGUAUCUCUGGGACAUCCCUAAGAUACCAAAGCUUUAUGUGCUGAAAGAUGACCUCGCGUCUGAUUAGCUAGUUGGUGGGGUAACGGCUCACCAAGGCGACGAUCAGUAGCCGGUCUGAGAGGAUGAACGGCCACAUUGGGACUGAGAUACGGCCCAG
This 312-nucleotide ribosomal RNA is filed under the name uncultured bacterium. RNAcentral's name for it is "bacterial SSU rRNA". It matches the Rfam family "Bacterial small subunit ribosomal RNA", at positions 28 to 334 of the family's 1533-position model. The record is from RNAcentral.